This 548-nucleotide ribosomal RNA is filed under the name uncultured bacterium. RNAcentral describes it as "bacterial SSU rRNA". It matches the Rfam family "Bacterial small subunit ribosomal RNA", at positions 355 to 896 of the family's 1533-position model. The record is from RNAcentral.
UAGGGAAUCUUCCGCAAUGGGCGAAAGCCUGACGGAGCAACGCCGCGUGAGUGAAGAAGGAUUUCGGUUCGUAAAGCUCUGUUGUUAGGGAAGAAUGAUUGUGUAGUAACUAUACACAGUAGAGACGGUACCUAACCAGAAAGCCACGGCUAACUACGUGCCAGCAGCCGCGGUAAUACGUAGGUGGCAAGCGUUGUCCGGAAUUAUUGGGCGUAAAGCGCGCGCAGGUGGUUUAAUAAGUCUGAUGUGAAAGCCCACGGCUCAACCGUGGAGGGUCAUUGGAAACUGUUACACUUGAGUGCAGGAGAGAAAAGUGGAAUUCCUAGUGUAGCGGUGAAAUGCGUAGAGAUUAGGAGGAACACCAGUGGCGAAGGCGGCUUUUUGGCCUGUAACUGACACUGAGGCGCGAAAGCGUGGGGAGCAAACAGGAUUAGAUACCCUGGUAGUCCACGCCGUAAACGAUGAGUGCUAAGUGUUGGUCUCAUAAGAGAUCAGUGCUGCAGCUAACGCAUUAAGCACUCCGCCUGGGGAGUACGACCGCAAGGUUG